This is a long non-coding RNA of Nicotiana tabacum (common tobacco), 522 nucleotides long. RefSeq lists it as uncharacterized. The record is from RefSeq and is a predicted model, not a curated record. Lineage: Eukaryota; Viridiplantae; Streptophyta; Magnoliopsida; Solanales; Solanaceae.
AACAUUGAAUGUGUUUCCUCUUUUGAAAUGGUUGAUUUCUAAAAAAGAUAACGCACAAAAAAGAAAUUUUCUUUUCACAUACAAGUCUUAGGUUUUCUCGGAUUCUUACAACUUUUUCACAGACAGCCUCCAAGUUAAUUCUUCGUUUAUUCUACUUGACACCAUUGAAGCAAAGCAACAGACACACAAAAAAAUGACUACAUCAAAAAGAGUUGCAGAGAGGAAAAUAGCUAAGUUUGAGAAGAACAUCACAAGAAGAGGAUUGAAUCCUCUAACAGGAAAGAACAAAAUGGAACCAGCUCACAUUGUUCUUGCUCUCUUUGCUGUUUUGGUCAUUGGAUCUUUUGUUUUCCAGGUUGUGAAGAUGGCGAUUAAUGGUGGGACGCUCUGAAUAUGGAAGCUCUUAAUUUCUCCAGAAGACGAAACUUUAAGCACAGGAGAAAUCUUUUUAGAAUAAAUAGUUAAUAAUAAACCAAACUAUGAAUAAGUUUGUGAUUAAAAUUCUCUUUUACUUGGUUACUA